This 322-nucleotide long non-coding RNA is filed under the name Ursus thibetanus thibetanus. Its description in RNAcentral is "lncRNA (ENSUTTG00000017903.1)". The record is from RNAcentral. Lineage: Eukaryota; Metazoa; Chordata; Mammalia; Carnivora; Ursidae.
CGGCAUACUACUCCAAAGAAGAAAACUUUCUGGGAGAGUUUACGUUCAUCAUGGGCUGUGACAGUGAACUCGUGUGGUGAUGAUGGAAAAUAUCAAAAGAUGGAUGGUUACUAAUUGCUUCAGAAGAGAUAUGAAGGCCAACAAAGAUAAUGUAAUUCAGUUUUUAAUUAAUUUAAUUUGUUUUAAAACUGCCAUAUAUAAAUUGCUAUUAACAUUCUUCCUUUUUUUUGUUUUUGCUGAAGUUCUACAGUCAUAUAUAACUGAUCUCUACAGUGAGAAUAAAGUAAUUAACAUUGAUGAAAUUCAUUUCUACCUAUUCUAG